GCCUGGGUGGCUCAGUCGGUGGAGCAUCCGACUUCAACUCAGGUCACGAUCUCGCGGUCCGUGAGUUCGAGCCCCGCGUCGGGCU
Molecule: non-coding RNA, 85 nt
Organism: Felis catus (domestic cat)
Lineage: Eukaryota; Metazoa; Chordata; Mammalia; Carnivora; Felidae
Source: Rfam